UCACAUCACAUCACCUUUUUCUCAUCCUCGUUUAAACGGGGCUACAAUUAUAAGAUCUAUCUGCAUGUCAUGACCAAUUUGUCAUGCGCAUCGAUUUUCACCUAUUUAUAAAACGUUGUAUAAAAAUGACGUAAUUUAUUUUAUUAAUACCGGUUUGGUCAACAACAGCUUUCGACCUGAAACGAAACUAUAGAACUAGACUGUUACCUUUAAUGUCCGGGAUAAAAGAAAACAGAACGACAACUCUCCAGGAAAUGUUUUUGUCAGAAAAUAAAUGUCCCUUCCCCAUGAUUGCUGAGCAUCAAGAAAUUGAACGAAAUUCGGGAAUUGAUGUUCGGAGUUUAUCAUUCAUUGCAGCUGCUUUGAAGGGAGUUGAUCCUUUCAAUACCGAGGAGAUCCAGAUUUGUCUCACAGAAAUUCGAAAAGGGAAGUGCCAAAGAC
Non-coding RNA from Paramuricea clavata, 441 nucleotides. The record is from the annotation of a GenBank genome assembly. NCBI's taxonomy places the organism in Eukaryota, Metazoa, Cnidaria, Anthozoa, Malacalcyonacea, Plexauridae.